CAGUAGCCGCGGUAAUACGUAGGGUGCAAGCGUUAAUCGGAAUUACUGGGCGUAAAGCGUGCGCAGGCGGUUAUAUAAGUCAGAUGUGAAAUCCCCGGGCUCAACCUGGGAACUGCAUUUGAGACUGUAUGGCUAGAGUGUGUCAGAGGGGGGUAGAAUUCCACGUGUAGCAGUGAAAUGCGUAGAUAUGCGGAGGAACACCGAUGGCGAAGGCAGCCCCCUGGGCCAACACUGACGCUCAUGCACGAAAGCGUGGGGAGCAAACAGGAUUAGAGACCCCCGUAGUCCCUGUCUCUUAUAC
This 301-nucleotide ribosomal RNA is filed under the name uncultured bacterium. RNAcentral describes it as "partial 16S ribosomal RNA". It matches the Rfam family "Bacterial small subunit ribosomal RNA", at positions 509 to 807 of the family's 1533-position model. The record is from RNAcentral.